Molecule: non-coding RNA, 180 nt
Organism: Eubacterium sp. CAG:161
Lineage: Bacteria; Bacillati; Bacillota; Clostridia; Eubacteriales; Eubacteriaceae
Rfam family: 6S / SsrS RNA
About the family: E. coli 6S RNA was the first non coding RNA to be sequenced, but its function was unknown until recently. It consists of 184 nucleotides that fold into an extended hairpin structure with a large single-stranded internal bulge.
Source: Rfam
AGUUACCUGAGAUGCUCGUAGGUCCUGUAUAUUUUGAACCUACAGUUUGAUUAAAGGGAUUCCUAUAUCUCUAAGGGGAUGACAUGCCUCGUUAUUUAGUGGACUUCAGAACUUUAGAUGCGGUUGCCCACCUGGCAUUUGCUAGGACUCAAAACGCAGGAAGGGCAUUUCGGGUAUACA